CAGUCGCCGCGGUAAUACAGAGGGUGCGAGCGUUAAUCGGAUUUACUGGGCGUAAAGCGUGCGUAGGCGGCUUUUUAAGUCGGAUGUGAAAUCCCUGAGCUUAACUUAGGAAUUGCAUUCAAUACUGGGAAGCUAGAGUAUGGGAGAGGAUGGUAGAAUUCCAGGUGUAGCGGUGAAAUGCGUAGAGAUCUGGAGGAAUACCGAUGGCGAAGGCAGCCAUCUGGCCUAAUACUGACGCUGAGGUACGAAAGCAUGGGGAGCAAACAGGAUUAGAUACCCCUGUAGUCCCUGUCUCUUAUAC
This 301-nucleotide ribosomal RNA is filed under the name uncultured bacterium. Its description in RNAcentral is "partial 16S ribosomal RNA". It matches the Rfam family "Bacterial small subunit ribosomal RNA", at positions 509 to 807 of the family's 1533-position model. The record is from RNAcentral.